AGCAGCCGCGGUAAUUCCAGCUCCAAUAGCGUAUAUUAAAGUUGUUGCAGUUAAAAAGCUCGUAGUUGAAUUUCGGGGUCAGUAGGUCGGUCGUGCCAACGGUAUGAACUGGUCUCAUUGAUUCCUCCCUCUUGUAGAACCGUGAUGCCAUUAAUUUGGUGUUGCGGGGAAACAGGACUGUUACUUUGAAAAAAUUAGAGUGUUUAAGGCAAGCUAACGCUUGAAUACAUUAGCAUGGAAUAAUGAAAUAGGACGUCGAUCUUAUUUUGUUGGUUUCUAGGGUUGACGUAAUGAUUAAUAGGGAUAGUUGGGGGCAUUAGUAUUCAAUUGUCAGAGGUGAAAUUCUUGGAUUUAUUGAAGACUAACUACUGCGAAAGCAUUUGCCAAGGAUGUUUUCAUUAAUCAAGAACGAAAGUUAGGGGAUCGAAGAUGAUCAGAUACCGUCGUAGUCUUAACCAUAAACUAUGCCGACUAGGGAUCGGAUGAUGUAAUUUUUAAUGACUCAUUCGGCGCCUUACGG
RNAcentral lists this ribosomal RNA (520 nucleotides) under uncultured Glomus. RNAcentral describes it as "SSU rRNA". It matches the Rfam family "Eukaryotic small subunit ribosomal RNA", at positions 569 to 1093 of the family's 1831-position model. The record is from RNAcentral. Lineage: Eukaryota; Fungi; Glomeromycota; Glomeromycetes; Glomerales; Glomeraceae.